AUUGAACGCUGGCGGCAGGCCUAACACAUGCAAGUCGAGCGGAGCGGCGGACGGGUGAGUAAUGCCUAAGAAUCUGCCUGGAAGUGGGGGAUAACGUCCGGAAACGGGCGCUAAUCCCGCAUACUAUCAGAUGAGCCUAGGUCGGAUUGGGUAGUUGGUGGGGUAAAGGCCUACCAAGGCGACGAACCGUAACUGGUGUGAGAGGAUGAUCAGUCACACUGGAACGUAGACACGGUCCAGACUCCUACGGGAGUCAGCAGUGGGGAAGAUUGGACAAUGGGCGAAAGACUGAUCCAGCCAUGCCGCGUGUGAGAAGAAGGUCUGCGGAUUGUAAAGCACUUUAAGUUGGGAGGCGUUACCAACAGAAUAAGCACCGGCUAACUUCGUGCCAGCAGCCGCGGUAAUUC
RNAcentral lists this ribosomal RNA (407 nucleotides) under uncultured bacterium. RNAcentral describes it as "partial 16S ribosomal RNA". It matches the Rfam family "Bacterial small subunit ribosomal RNA", at positions 30 to 526 of the family's 1533-position model. The record is from RNAcentral.